Long non-coding RNA from Erythranthe guttata (spotted monkey flower), 900 nucleotides. RefSeq lists it as uncharacterized. The record is from RefSeq and is a predicted model, not a curated record. Lineage: Eukaryota; Viridiplantae; Streptophyta; Magnoliopsida; Lamiales; Phrymaceae.
AAUUUUUGUUCUUCAUUUGGUAAGAAGAAGAAAAGGAUGUUGUUCCACAAAAAAACCACCACUCAAUUUUGAAGUGUUAAUGGAUGAAGGUUUGUUCAAGUUCUGCAUAAAAUUUCUUGAUCCAAUUUUUUUUUCUUAUAUCCCCUAAUUAUUAUUGUUACUUGGGUGGAAUUCUGUGCAUUGAAGAAUGACUUACAAGACCAUUCCAUGUUUUAAUCUAUUUUUUAAUAUGUAAUUUUGGGUUGCUUGGUCUGCUAAUCAACUUUAUAUUAGAUUAAUUUGGAUUAGAUGAGAUUCGAUUGAUAAUGACAUUUUCAUAGUUUCUUAUUCUGUCCGAUUAUGUUUCUGAUUCGGUUUUGAGAUUGUACAGUUUCAGUGGGUGCUCCAAUGCAGAAGUUUUGACCUAAUUCGUUGAAUGUGUGGGUCGAUGCUGGAAUAUGGUUAAUUUAUUUGAAGAUGAUGCGAAAUGCUUUAAGUGAGAGGGCUUUGUUUAUCAGUAGUAGAAACUUAAUCAGUAGUUGGGUGAUUAGAGUCAGGGAUUGUUGUUUUUGCCACUUCUAUACAGUAAGAAAUGACGGGGAGAAGUGCUUUACUACAUGUUACUAUAGUCAUCAAUGGUAACAUGACUAUAUGUUACUAUAGUCAUAUAUAGUAACAUUACUACAUAUAUGGUAACCUGACUAUUUGUUACAUAGUCAUAUAUAGUAACAUUACUAUAUGUUACUAUAGUCAUAUAUAGUAACAUAUAGUAACAUGUAGUCAUGUCUGGGUUAUGUGUGUUUUUAAUAUUGAGUGAUGAUGAUGAUUUUGUUCUUUAUUGAAGAACAUAUGCAUGUGAUUGUAUAUUUCGAUCUAUAUUUGUACAAUUUGAUAUAUAAUAUCAAUAUUUAUUUCGAUCUA